Molecule: ribosomal RNA, 406 nt
Filed under: uncultured bacterium
Lineage: Bacteria
Description: partial 16S ribosomal RNA
Rfam family: Bacterial small subunit ribosomal RNA
Source: RNAcentral
AUUGAACGCUGGCGGCAGGCCUAACACAUGCAAGUCGAACGAGUGGCGGACGGGUGAGUAAUGUCGGGGAAACUGCCUGCUGGAGGGGGAUAACUACUGGAACCGGUAGCUAAUACCGCAUACCAUCGGAUGUGCCCAGAUGGGCUAAGUUAGUAGGUGGGGUAAAGGCUCACCUAGGCGACGAUCCCUAGCGGAUCUGAGAGGAUGACCAGCGACAUGGGAACGGGGACGCGGUCAAGGCUCCUACGGGAGGCAGCAGUGGGGAAUAGUGGACAGUGGGCGCAAGCCUGGCACAACCAUGCCGCGUGUAUUAAGAAGGCGUUGGGGUUGGAAAGUACUUUCUGCGGUUAGACGUUACCCGCAGAAGAAGCACCGGCUAACUCCGUGCCAGCAGCCGCGGUAAUAC